Molecule: ribosomal RNA, 253 nt
Filed under: uncultured bacterium
Lineage: Bacteria
Description: partial 16S ribosomal RNA
Rfam family: Bacterial small subunit ribosomal RNA
Source: RNAcentral
UACGAAGGGGGCUAGCGUUGCUCGGAAUCACUGGGCGGAAAGGGUGCGUAGGCGGGUCUUUAAGUCAGAGGUGAAAUCCUGGAGCUCAACUCCAGAACUGCCUUUGAUACUGAAGAUCUUGAGUUCGGGAGAGGUGAGUGGAACUGCGAGUGUAGAGGUGAAAUUCGUAGAUAUUCGCAAGAACACCAGUGGCGAAGGCGGCUCACUGGCCCGAUACUGACGCUGAGGCACGAAAGCGUGGGGAGCAAACAGG